GGACCCAUAGCUCAGUGGUUAGAGCAGCUGACUCAUAAUCAGUUGGUCGUAGGUUCAAUCCCUACUGGGUCCA
This 73-nucleotide transfer RNA is filed under the name Paludibacteraceae bacterium. Its description in RNAcentral is "tRNA-Ile". It matches the Rfam family "tRNA". From Rfam's summary of the family: Transfer RNA (tRNA) molecules are approximately 80 nucleotides in length. Their secondary structure includes four short double-helical elements and three loops (D, anti-codon, and T loops). RNAcentral also lists the same sequence under 1 other name. Lineage: Bacteria; Pseudomonadati; Bacteroidota; Bacteroidia; Bacteroidales; Paludibacteraceae. The record is from RNAcentral.